RNAcentral lists this ribosomal RNA (254 nucleotides) under uncultured bacterium. RNAcentral describes it as "partial 16S ribosomal RNA". It matches the Rfam family "Bacterial small subunit ribosomal RNA", at positions 524 to 776 of the family's 1533-position model. The record is from RNAcentral.
UACGGAGGGGGCAAGCGUUGUUCGGAAUUACUGGGCGUAAAGGGCGCGCAGGCGGCUGCUCAAGUCAGGCGUGAAAGGCCUGGGCUCAACCCGGGAAUUGCGCUUGAGACUGGGCUGGCUUGAGUGCGGGAGAGGAUGGUGGAAUUCCCAGUGUAGAGGUGAAAUUCGUAGAUAUUCGGAAGAACACCAGUGGCGAAGGCGACUCGCUGGACAAGUAUUGACGCUGAGGUGCGAAAGCGUGGGGAGCAAACAGG